This 539-nucleotide ribosomal RNA is filed under the name uncultured archaeon. RNAcentral's name for it is "bacterial SSU rRNA". It matches the Rfam family "Archaeal small subunit ribosomal RNA", at positions 457 to 997 of the family's 1478-position model. The record is from RNAcentral.
GUCAGCAGCCGCGGUAAUACCCGCAGCCCGAGUGGUGGUCGAUUUAUGAGUCUAAAACGUUCGUAGCCGGUUUAGUAAUCUCUGGGUAAAUCGGAAGGCUUAACUUUCCGAAUUCCGGAGAGACUGCUAGGACUUGGGAUCGGGAGAGGUAAGAGGUACUUCAGGGGUAGGGGUAAAAUCCUGUAAUCCUUGGAGGACCACCGGUGGCGAAGGCGUCUUACUAGAACGAAUCCGACGGUGAGGGACGAAGCCCUAGGUCGCAAACGGGAUUAGAUACCCCGGUAGUCUAGGGUGUAAACGCUGCAGACUUGGUGUUGGGACCCUUCGUGGGUAUUCAGUGCCGGAGAGAAGUUGUUAAGUCUGCUACUUGGGGAGUACGUCCGCAAGGAUGAAACUUAAAGGAAUUGGCGGGGGAGCACCGCAACGGGGAAGGAGCGUGCGGUUUAAUUGGAUUCAACACCGGAAAACUCACCAGGGGAGACCAUCACAUGAAGGCCAGGCUGAUGACUUUGCCUGAUUCUUGGAGGAGAGGUGCAUGG